This 254-nucleotide ribosomal RNA is filed under the name uncultured bacterium. RNAcentral's name for it is "partial 16S ribosomal RNA". It matches the Rfam family "Bacterial small subunit ribosomal RNA", at positions 524 to 776 of the family's 1533-position model. The record is from RNAcentral.
UACGUAGGGUGCAAGCGUUAAUCGGAAUUACUGGGCGUAAAGCGUGCGCAGGCGGUGAUGUAAGACAGUUGUGAAAUCCCCGGGCUCAACCUGGGAACUGCAUCUGUGACUGCAUCGCUGGAGUGCGGCAGAGGGGGAUGGAAUUCCGCGUGUAGCAGUGAAAUGCGUAGAUAUGCGGAGGAACACCGAAGGCGAAGGCAGUGUCCUGGCGAGUAUCCUGACGCUGAGGUGCGAAAGCCAGGGGAGCGAACGGG